UCUCCCUAACAGAUUAAACAAGGUCCCAGUUGUAUACAAAUGAUAUUUUACCAAGCAUAGUUUAUGUUGGAAGUGGUUGUUCUUUUAUUUACGCCCCUCUCCCUAAAGAUAAAACAAGUCCAUGUUGUAUACAAAUAUAUUUUUACCAAAGCAUAUUUAUGUUGAAUGUUUUCCUUUAAUUUUUCCCCGCUCUCCCUAACAGAUUCAAACAAUCCAUGUUGUAUACAAAUGAGUAUUUUACCAAGGCAUAUUUAUGUUGAAAGGUUUUCUUUUAUUUACGCCCCCUCUCCCUAACAGAUAAAACACGUCCAUGUUGCUAUACAAAUGAUAUUUUACCAAGCAUAUUUAUGUUGGAAGUGUUUUCUUUUAGUUUCCCCGUUCUCCCCCCCAUAACAGGAUUAAACAAGUCCAAUGUUGUAUACAAAUGAUGAUGUUUACCAAGGCAUAUUUAUGUUGGGAAGUGUUUUCUUUUAUUUACGCUCCCUUUCCCUAACAGAUUAACAAGUCCAUGUUGGUUAUACAAAUGAUAUUUUACCAAGGCAUAUUUAUGUGGAAGUGUUUUCUUUUUAUUUACGCUCCCUUUCCCUAACAGAUUAAACAAUCCAUUGUUGUAUACAAAUGAUAUUUUACCAAGCAUAUUUAUGUUGGAAGUGUUUUCUUUUAUCUACGCUCCCUCUCCCUUACAGAAUUAAACAAGUCCAUGUUUAUACAAAAUAAUAUUUUACCAAGAUAUUUUAUGUUGAAGUGUUUUCUUUUAUUUACGCCCCUCUCCCUAACAAUUAAAACAAGUCCAUGGUUAUCAAAUGAUAUUGUACCAAGGCAUAUUUAGUUGAAGUGUUUUCUUUUAUUUUCACCAAACGCCAUCUACCUAAACAGAAAUUAAACAAGGAUCCAUGUUGUAUACAAAUGGUAUUACAAAGGCAUAUUGAUGUUGGAAGUUUUCUUUUAGUUAGCCCCCCUCUCACCUAACAGAUUAACAAGAUCCCAUGGAUGUAAUACAAAUGAAUAUAUAUUACCAAGGCUAUUUAUUGUUGGAGUGUUUCUUUAUAUUUACAGCCACCCCUCUCCCUAACAGAUUAAAACAAGUCCAUGUUGUAUACAAAUGAUAUGUUACCAAGACAGUAUUUAUGUUGGAAGUGUUUAUCUAUUUAUGUUACGCUCCCAUCUCAUAACAGAAUUAAACAAGGUCCAUGUUGUAUACAAAUGAUAUUUACCAAGGCAAUUUAUGUGGAAAAGUUUGUCUUUAUAUUUACCCCCUUUCACCUAACAGAUUAAACAAGCAUCCAUGGUAGAUAUACAAAAUGAUAUUUUACCAAUGACACAUAUGUGGAAGUGUUUUCUUUGUUCACCCCUCUCCCUAACAGAUUAAACAUGUCCAUGUUGUAUACAAAUAUCAUUUUACCAAGACAUAUAUAUGUGAGAGUGUUUGCGUUUUAUUUACGCCCCCUCUCCCUUACAGAUUAAAACAAGUCCAUGUUGUAUACAAUGGUAUUUUACCAAGGCAUAUUUAUGUUGAAGUGUUUUCUUUAUUUACGCCCCCUCUCCCCAACAGAUAAAACAAGUCCAUGUUGUAUACAAAUGAUAUUUUACCAAGGCAGAUUUAUGUUGGAAGUGUUUUCUUUUAUUUACGCUCCCUCCCCCUAACAGAUUAAACAAGUCCAUGUUGUAUACAAAUGAUAUUUUACCAAGGCAUAUUUAUGUUGGAAGUGUUUUUUUUUCUUUACGCUCCCUCUCCCUAACAGAUUAAACAAGUCCAUGUUGUAUACAAAUGAUAUUUUACCAAGGCAUAUUUGAUGUUGGAAGUGUUUUCUUUUAUUUACGCCCCAUCUCCUACAGAUAAACAAGUCCAUGUUGUAUACAAAUGAUAUUUACCAAGCAUAUUUAUGUUUGGAAGUGUUUUCUUUUAUUUACGCUCCCUUUCGCCUAACAGAUUAAAACAAGUCCAUGGUUGUAUACAAAUGAUAUUUACCAAGCAUAUUUAUGUUGGAAGUGUUUUUUCUUUUAUCUACGCUCCCUUCGUCCCUUACAUAUUAACAAGUCCGAUGUUUGUAUACAAAUGGAUAUUUUACCAAGGCUAUUUAUGUGGAAGUGGGUUUCUUUUAUUUACGCCCCUCUCCCUAACAGAUUAAACAAUCCAUGCUGUAUACAAAUGAUAUUUUACAAGGCAUAUUUAUGUUGGAAGUGUUUUCUUUUAUUUCCCUUCUCCCUAACAAUUAAUCAAGUCCAUGGUUUACAAAUGAUAUUUUACCAAGAUUAUUAUGUGAAGUGUUUUCUUUAGUUACGCCCCCUCUAACCUAACAGAUUGAACAACGUCCAUGGGUAUACAAUAUAUUUACCAAGGCAGAUUUAUGUUGGAAGUGUUUUCUUUUAUUUACGCUCCCUCCCCCUAACAGAUUAAACAAGUCCAUGUUGUAUACAAAUGAUAUUUUACCAAGGCAUAUUUAUGUUGGAAGUGUUUUUUUUUCUUUACGCUCCCUCUCCCUAACAGAUUAAACAAGUCCAUGUUGUAUACAAAUGAUAUUUUACCAAGCAUUAUUAAUUUAUGUUGGAAAGUGUUUUUAUUUACGCCCCCUUUCCCUAACAAGAUUAAACAAGUCCAUGGUGUAUACAAAUGAUAUUUUACCAAUGCAUACAUAUGUUGAAGUGUUUUCUUUUAGUACGCCCCCCUCUCCCUAACGAUAAACAUGUCCAUGUUGUAUACAAAUGAUAUUUUACCAAGACAUAUUUAUGUUGGAAGUUUUUCUUUUAUUCACGCUUCCCUCUCCUAAACAGAUUAAACAAGUUCGCAUGUUGUAUUACAAAUAUAUUUUACCAAGGCAUAUUAUAUGUGGAAGUGUUUCCUUUUAUUUACGCCCCCUCUUCCCUGAACAGAUAAAACAAGUCAUGUUGUAUUACAAAUGAUUAUUUACCAAGCAUAUUUAGUUGGAAAGUUUUUCUUUUAUUUUCCCCGCUCUCCCCUAACCAGAUUAAACAAGUCCAGUUGUAUACAAAUGAUAUUUUUACCAAGGCAUAUUUAUGUUGGAAGUGUUUGUCUUUUAUCUACGCUCCCUCUCCCUUACAGAUUAAACAAGUUUCAUGUUGUAUACAAUAUAUUUUACCAAGGCAUAUUUAUGUUGGAAGUUUUUCUUAUUAAUUACGCCCCUCUUCCUACAGAUUAAACAAGUCCAUGUGUAUACAGAAUGAUAAUUUUUACAACUUGAAGCAUAUUUAUGUUGGAAGUGUUUUCUUUUAUUUCCCCGCUCUCCCUUAACAGAUUAACAAGUCCAUGCUGUAUACAAAUGAUAUUUACCAAGGCAUAUUUAUGUUGGAAGUGUUUUCUUUUAUUUACGCCCCUGCUC
Molecule: long non-coding RNA, 3338 nt
Filed under: Mytilus galloprovincialis (Mediterranean mussel)
Lineage: Eukaryota; Metazoa; Mollusca; Bivalvia; Mytilida; Mytilidae
Source: RNAcentral